UUUAUGGAGAGUUUGAUCCUGGCUCAGGAUGAACGCUGGCGGCGUGCCUAAUACAUGCAAGUCGAGCGAACGGAUGAGAAGCUUGCUUCUCUGAUGUUAGCGGCGGACGGGUGAGUAACACGUGGAUAACCUACCUAUAAGACUGGGAUAACUUCGGGAAACCGGAGCUAAUACCGGAUAAUAUUUUGAACCGCAUGGUUCAAAAGUGAAAGACGGUCUUGCUGUCACUUAUAGAUGGAUCCGCGCUGCAUUAGCUGGUUGGUAAGGUAACGGCUUACCAAGGCAACGAUGCAUAGCCGACCUGAGAGGGUGAUCGGCCACACUGGAACUGAGACACGGUCCAGACUCCUACGGGAGGCAGCAGUAGGGAAUCUUCCGCAAUGGGCGAAAGCCUGACGGAGCAACGCCGCGUGAGUGAUGAAGGUCUUCGGAUCGUAAAACUCUGUUAUUAGGGAAGAACAUAUGUGUAAGUAACUGUGCACAUCUUGACGGUACCUAAUCAGAAAGCCACGGCUAACUACGUGCCAGCAGCCGCGGUAAUACGUAGGUGGCAAGCGUUAUCCGGAAUUAUUGGGCGUAAAGCGCGCGUAGGCGGUUUUUUAAGUCUGAUGUG
This 613-nucleotide ribosomal RNA is filed under the name Staphylococcus aureus. Its description in RNAcentral is "bacterial SSU rRNA". It matches the Rfam family "Bacterial small subunit ribosomal RNA", at positions 1 to 596 of the family's 1533-position model. The record is from RNAcentral. Lineage: Bacteria; Bacillati; Bacillota; Bacilli; Caryophanales; Staphylococcaceae.